This 1384-nucleotide ribosomal RNA is filed under the name uncultured bacterium. RNAcentral describes it as "bacterial SSU rRNA". It matches the Rfam family "Bacterial small subunit ribosomal RNA". The record is from RNAcentral.
GUGCCUAAUACUGCAAGUCGGACGUGAGCCUUGAUUCGGUCGAGGUGAAAGUGGCGAACGGGUGAGUAACACAUGGCUGACCUGCCCCUCAGAGGGGGAUAACUACUGGAAACGGUAGCUAAUACCCCAUACGCUCGCUCGGGUUAGAGGCCGGGUGAGGAAAGGCGGGAGCUGCUGAGGGAGGGGGCUGUGGCCCAUCAGCUAGUUGGUGGGGUAAUGGCCUACCAAGGCGAGGACGGGUAGGGGGCCUGAGAGGGUGACCCCCCACACGGGCACUGAGAGACGGGCCCGACUCCUACGGGAGGCAGCAGUAAGGGAUAUUGCGCCAAUGGGCGAAAGCCUGACGCAGCAACGCCGCGUGCGGGAAGAAGGCCUUCGGGUUGUAAACCGCUUUGAGAGGGGACGAGGCAGGACGGUACCCUCAGAACAAGUCUCGGCUAACUACGUGCCAGCAACACGUAGGAGGCGAGCGUUAUCCGGAGUUACUGGGUGUAAAGGGCGUGCAGGCGGCUGAGCAAGACGUAUGUGACAAACGCUCAGAGCUCAACCGGGCGAGGACAUGCGAAGACUGCUGAGCUAGAGGCAGGUAGAGGUGCGUGGAAUUCCGGGUGUAGUGGUGAAAUGCGUAGAGAUCCGGAGGAACACCAGUGGCGAAGGCGGCGCGCUGGGCCUGACCUGACGCUGAGGCGCGAAAGCAUGGGGAGCGAACGGGAUUAGAAACCCCGGUAGUCCAUGCUGUAAACGAUGCGGACUAGGUGUGGCGGUGGGAGCGUGCCGUGCCGAAGCGAACGUGAUAAGUCCGCCACCUGGGGAGUACGGCCGCAAGGUUAAAACUCAAAGGAAUUGACGGGGGCCCGCACAAGCAGCGGAGCGUGUGGUUUAAUUCGAGGCUACACGAAGAACCUUACCUGGGCUUGACAUGGCUGGUGGUAGCUUCUUGAAAGGGGAGCGACCUUCGGGAGCCGUCACAGGUGCUGCAUGGCUGUCGUCAGCUCGUGUCGUGAGAUGUUCGGUUAAGUCCGGUAACGAGCGCAACCCUCGCCGUCAGUUACAGGUGUCUGGCGGGACUGCCCGUUGAAAGCGGGAGGAAGGUGAGGAUGACGUCAAGUCAGCAUGGCCUUGAUGUCCAGGGCUACACACACGCUACAAUGGCCGGUACAGAGGGUAGCCAACCCGCGAGGGGGAGCCAAUCCACCAAAGCCGGUCGUAGUUCGGAUUGCAGGCUGCAACCCGCCUGCAUGAAGCCGGAGUUGCUAGUAACCGCGCAUCAGCCAUGGUGCGGUGAAUACGUUCCCGGGCCUUGUACACACCGCCCGUCACGUCAUGGGAGCUGGUCAUGCCUGAAGUCGGGGGGCUAACCGCGAGGAGGCCACCGCCGAAGGCA